UUUUUUUCACGAUUGAAAAUUAAAGCUUUAAUUAUCCUACACUAUAUGCAUGAUUAUCGAAUGUCUACAUACAUACAUACACUGGAAUGACGAUGCUAAGAAGAAAAAAAGUUUAAUAUGGAAAAAGGGGGGACAUGAAAACUAUGACUUUAUGUACACUAGCUGUUCAUCAUAUGAAGAAAUAAAUAAAUAUUGUUGGCUUUUGUAUACUCAGGAAAAACAAGCUUAAUUUUGCCUGACUUACAAGAAUACUUUCAAUUUCCAAGAGUCCUUUUGUGCUUUGAAUCUUCCUAUAACCAUACUCCUCAGGCUUUUUUCUUUUUUUUUAGGUUUUAUUAUAUUCUACUUUGUAACGGCUGUGUUCCCAAACUAUGAAGUACAAUUUCAGCGAUAUACUACUAUUGGCUUAGUUUUGCAGGAUGAAGAACAGGAGACAUAAUGUCAAAAUGAUGGAAAACAUCAAAUUAACUGAAGUUUAUUGGAGGGUCCUCUCAUACCCAUGUUCAAGAAAGGCAACUGAUGUAUGUUGUCGUGAAAUGGUUCACAGCUGGAAAGGAAUUGUGCCAAAGGAUGAAACGUACCUCUGGUCUCAUCCACACUCAAGUUAGAAGAGAUUUAGGGAUCAUCUCCUCAUCUAUUCCUCCACCGCUGUUGCCUUCCUGGUCUACUGGCUGACCUUGAGAUGGGCUGAAGAAUGCCCUUGAA
Balaenoptera musculus (blue whale) is the source of this 705-nucleotide long non-coding RNA. RefSeq lists it as uncharacterized. The transcript is spliced from 3 exons. NCBI's taxonomy places the organism in Eukaryota, Metazoa, Chordata, Mammalia, Artiodactyla, Balaenopteridae. The record is from RefSeq and is a predicted model, not a curated record.